UUCACUGAUUUUAAUAUCGAGGUGAGCGCCGUUGUGAGUCUAGGAAGAGGCUGCGCGAGCACAAGUUUUAUUUAAGGAAUAGAUGUAUAAUUUCAAGAACUCAAAGAAGCAGAUCCGCCAAUAUUUAAUUGGCAGCAGUCAUACUGUCCAGGUUUAUACCUUAAGAGCCCCCCCUCUCUCUGUCGCGCCUGCGCAUACAUGAUGCUGGAACGAGUUUGAUCAAAAUGUUUGUUAUUGCAGAAAAAGAACAGGGGGGUAUUCCAGAGAGCAGGUUCUGCUAGCUCCCACGAAAAUGUGUACUUUGACUAACACGUCUCUAAAAAGGCCAGAAGGGCAGAUGUGAUCAUCUGAAACCACUGAAGACCCUGCAGUUGUCUUUGUGAGCAACUUUCCAAAAGAAUCUUCAGUCCACCUGACGACCUGCUCCUGGACUGAUGGGACUUUAAGUAAAGUGGGAUCUGAAACCUUUCAAGAACCCUAGUGACCCCUCACCCAUAAAAAACAGGACACCUCCAAACCUCAAAGACAACCUGCUGUCUCCACACCCCUUCCUGUCCCGUGGUCGAGUCAGAUCAAUGCACUCAUUGGUGGAAAAUCGUUUCCAUGAAUCUGUUUCUGUUGGAAACCACACGUGUGAAUCUGCAGGCUGAGAAACCCGAGCAGGUGUUGGGAAGCGUCUCUUUAAUCUGCCUGAUCAGAGUUGACUGUAAAUGUGCCGCAGUCUGCGAGGAAACGCACCCCCAGUGCAAACAAACAGGUCACACUUAGAAGACCGGGCCAGGUCACAGGGGGAUUAAACGAACGCUUGCUCUAGAUUUUAUUUUUUAAAUAAAUCAGCAUUCAAAUGCCA
Non-coding RNA from Oryzias latipes (Japanese medaka), 850 nucleotides. NCBI's taxonomy places the organism in Eukaryota, Metazoa, Chordata, Actinopteri, Beloniformes, Adrianichthyidae. The record is from RefSeq and is a predicted model, not a curated record.